GUGGAUGUGUUUAUGACUCGUUAUUACGACGAAUCUGAGAAGAACCACAGAAUUCCUAGGAACUUAUGGAGAAGAGAACGAUCACGAGGCCCAGCAGUCAGCAUUUCAGCGUUCUGGUCUACGUCACAGGAGAGAAGACAGAUAGAGACAUGUGAACGCCCACACAUUUCACCUCUUGACCUGGCAUUCUAGUCUGAUAUUGUAAUACAACAGAUGUGGGGUGAUAAACAACAGGAUAAGUAGGUGGAAACAGCGUGAGAGGUAAAGUUUAAAUAAUGUAAAAUUCAUACUGCAGUGGCCCUACACCAACAUAUGGUAAAUUGCUUUUCCAUUUUUGUUGGCGAUACAAUAGUUAUGAUAGUUAUGAUCUUGACCUUUGAACAUCAAACUUUCAUUCCAGUUCACUCUAAUGCUAAAGCACCUGCAGCACAACUGGCCUUCUGUAUCCAGGAUGAUCUUGUAACUGUUAAUUUUCUUUCAGCUCCAUGAAUUCACUCUGACCUCAAAUCUGUUCAAAGGCAGGGAUUGCAUUACUAGCAUCAUUAGAAUUUUUAUAUCUGAAAUAUGCUCAUAUUUUUCAGUACAGUUAUAUCUUUAGCUGCUAUCUUAAACGACUGUUGUUGUCUUUUGCAAGCAAAACAGGCAAUGAGAUGAGGAAGUAAUUGUGACUGAUCAAACAAAUAUGAAAAUAAGAAAAGCUCACUGGUUUAGCCUAAUUUGGAUGCCUGCUAUUUUCCAUUUCUGUGGGUCAGGGCAUCAGACCAAACCUCUUUUUGCUUUAUGAACAUCUGGUUGGAGGCAUCUAAUAAGCCUGGAUCAGUGUAAGGAAUAGCAUAAAUCUGUGAGCAGACAGCCGAACAAGAGAGAUCUCUCCACCCCAUUCUAAUCUUCACAAUUUGCCGUGGCUGAUAAAAUUUUAAUGAGGAAUAAACAUAAUGGGGGCCCCUGAAAGAUUACCAUAAACAGAGGGAUAACUGCUCAGCUGUGCUCCAACAGCGCCGAGCACACGCAAGAGAGAGGUAUCAAAGAAACUUGCCAAACAAAUCAUCUGACCGUAGCCAAAUGGCCCAGUGUCCACAAAUCAAUAUUGACUUUUGGUGUGCACUUUAAAAAGGUUCAGGGGCUUGGAUAUGAAUUGUUCAGAUUCACAGCUGGACCAAAACUGCAGAUAGGGGUCUUGGCAGUUCAGCAGUUCUCAUAAACUGUUUUACAUAAAUUGUACCUUCCUUGUUGUUAAAAUCAUCCACGCAUCUUCAUUUUCUUGUUUCCAUUUCUUCUUUUCAUUUAGUUUUCCCUUUGUUCUCUGUAGCUAAUGAUUAAAUGCUCAUUAAUAUUUGUAAAAUAGCCUGCAAACAAGCGCAAGGCCUUGCUAACUAGCAUUUUUUAAUGAUGGUUAGAGUUAAGUGUGGUUAAAAUAAAGGAGAAUGGGGAGUGGGCGAUGCAGUGAGCCAUAACACUAUCAGUUUAACCAAUUAGAAAUUAGCUGCUGGGAUAACAUCUAAGGAUGCACUUAUCUUAAAAAAAAAAAACAAAAAAAAAACAAAGGUGAUGGUUAUUUCCAUGCCAUGACUGAUGUUAAAACUGUAUAAUGGUUUGUCUAGAAUUAAUUAAUAAAACUUUAAAUUGUGAACUUAAUUUAGGCAUCACAACAUUUUAAUGUGCAUAAUGACAAGUAUAUAUUUAGUGUAUAUAUAUAUAUAUAUAUAUAUAUAUAUAUAUAUAUAUAUAUAUAUAUAUAUAUAUAUAUAUAUAUAUAUAUAUAUAUAUAUAUAUAUAUAUAUAUAUAUAUAUAUUUAUAUAAGAUUACCUUUUUGAGUGUUAAAUGUUGGAAAAUGUAAUUAAAAUGUAAAAACUGUGGACAUUAAUAUUUAAAUAUUGCACAAUUGAAUAUCCAAUAUCCACUAAAUUAAAGAAAAAAAUAUAACCGAUAAUCACCGUGCUAAUAUUCACUAUUUUUCAAAGUUUCACUAAGUCUGC
Long non-coding RNA from Cyprinus carpio carpio, 1977 nucleotides. The record is from Ensembl. NCBI's taxonomy places the organism in Eukaryota, Metazoa, Chordata, Actinopteri, Cypriniformes, Cyprinidae.